CUACUUAGUCUUAGUUUUGUCAAUGCCCAAUCUCAUCAGAUCUGAGAAACGAAGCAGAGCUGUGCCUGGUUAGUAUUUGGAUGGAAGAACAUGGAGAAUACCAGGUGCCACAGUGGG
Molecule: ribosomal RNA, 117 nt
Filed under: Periophthalmus magnuspinnatus
Lineage: Eukaryota; Metazoa; Chordata; Actinopteri; Gobiiformes; Gobiidae
Source: RNAcentral